CAAGUCUCUGGAGUUUCACGAUUUGCCUCUUGAGGAAAAGAUGGAAUUUUUCAAUAAAGAACUCAUCACACCCGUUAGGGAGGUAGCAUUUGAAUACAACAAGAGAAUAAGAAAUGUGGCAAGGACUUUGCUGGAAGGAAUAUCAGAGUUUAGGAUUACAAGCCAAGGCCAUUAUAGAGUCCAAAGCUUUUGAUUCAGGGCAUCAGAAAUGUCAAGUGAACUUAUACCCUCCAUGUCCUCAACCAGACCUUACUGACAAUCGCUUACUAACUGUCUUCAUUGAAAAUGGAAUCAAAGGCCUUCAAGUGAAGCAGCAUCAUAAAUGGGUUAAUAUUGUGAGUAACAAGCUGUACAAGAGUGUGUGGCACAGAGUAGUGGUGAAUGAAAGAGACAAGAGGCUUAGUCUUGCACUGAAGAAUGAACCAGCACCUGAGAAAGAAAUAGGGCCUGCAACUGAGCUAUUAGAGAAGGAAAAGCCAUUGUUCAAGAGAAUCAAAUAUAAAGAUUACUUGCGAGUUCAACUGGAGGCUAGAUGUAUUGACAAGAGAGCUCCUGCGGCUGCUUCUCUUCCGAGUUGUUGUUCCCUCCAUCAAAAGCCUCUGAAUUUUCAUAGCAAUGCCCAUCACCAGAGAAAUCUUACCACUCUAUCACUUUCUACUACUCACAGCAAAAUCCCAAUAAGAGAUUUCUGCGCUCUGACUCUGAGAAAUCCCCGGAGUUUCGUCAAUUCCAAUUCAAAUCAGAGCCAGAGCCACUCUCUGUUUCUUCAUUUUCUUCUCUCUACUGAUUACAAAGACCCCAAUAAUCAACACCCAGAACGCAGAUACCAAAAGCUUCCACAAGAAGACGAGCAAAAGGGGUUCGGCAGCGCCGAGGAAAGGCGGGUACAUUUCACAAACAUGUGGUGGGCAGAUGUGAAAGCGGCGUUAGGGCAGAGAAUAAACUUGGAGGCCAUUUGUUCGACGUUUUUGUUUGUGAAAGACCCCAAAUUAGCACUGCCUCAUGUUUCUGUUCCGGACUUGAGGUACAUUGAUUGGGGUGAGCUGCGAAGAAGGGGUUUCAAAGGGGUCGUGUUUGAUAAGGAUAAUACCAUUACUGCUCCUUACUCUUUGACACUUUGGCCUCCCCUUGCUUCUUCGAUGGAACGUUGUAAAUCGGCGUUUGGUCCUGAUAUUGCUGUCUUCAGUAACUCUGCUGGACUUCAUGAGUAUGAUCAUGAUGGUUCCAAAGCUAAGGCGCUUGAGGAGGCAAUUGGGAUUAGAGUCAUAAGGCACAGGGUGAAGAAACCAGCUGGAUCAGCUGAUGAAAUUGAAAAGCAUUUUGGUUGUGAGCCCUCACAACUAAUCAUGGUGGGUGAUCGGCCCUUCACUGACAUUGUUUAUGGCAAUCGAAAUGGGUUUCUUACUAUUUUGACCGAACCUCUUAGUCUUGCCACGGAGCCAUUUGUUGUUCGACAGGUUUGCUUGUUAUGAUAUUUAGCUUUUCUUUGGAGCAUUACGAUUUUCCCUGUUUAUUAUUAUCUUUUAAAUUUUGUUUUGAAUAAGAAAAUUUUGUUAAUAAAAGGGAAAUGAGACAACUCUAUAUGGAGUGUUUUAUGGGAAUGAAGGAAACAGGGAAAAAACAGAGAGAAAACCAUUGAGAAAAAAAUUCUAUUCUGCCUCCUUCAAGAGACAGUUAAUGGAACUGAGUACUAAUAAUAUCAAAAGUAUAAACUACGAGUAGACUGGGAAGGAAACCUUGUUUCAAAUCGUAUGUGAAGUUUGAUAAUGGUUCUUAAUUAGCACGACCCAAGUUAUUGCUCUCUGUAAAUGAUGCAUAUCUACAAUUAUUUGCCAAAGGCAAACACAUUAAAGGAUAUUUAUGUAUGUCAAUGUGAACCAAGUGCAACAUGCUCGUUUGCCCCCUUUCCUUUGUUUCAGCUUCCUGAUGUUUAGAAAUUUUUUGUAUUUCAUUGUUGAAAUAUGCUGUUUCGUAUGUGGUAUCUUGUUCAAAUUUUCAGUAUGUCCCUUAUUUACAAGUUCAUCUUUGUCAUAGUUACCAAUGUUAGCGUUAGAUUUGCUUGCUUUCGUAGGAUAAUCACGCACAUGUUACCAUUUCAGUAUACAUGAACAGCGCGCGCGCGCAGUCAAAUACACAUAUACUAUCAAUUAGCUAUUUACAAGUGCACAUCCAUCUUUUGUCAUUUCAUGAUCAGUACUUCUUCACCUUUCCUCAAUCUUCAAUAACCGUUUGUUUGUACAAGUAUAGCUCUAUAGUUCUUCAGUUGCAUCUUUCCAUUUCAUUUAUCAAGUGUCUCCAUUUAAAUAAUUGAGACUACAUGCUGGAGAUAAUGGCCACACUUUGGCAUCAGCAGUGCAUUCACUUGCUUAUGGCUACAUUCUGCUGUUCCUGUGGUUGGUCUUGUCCUAUAAAGUUGAAGGUGAGGAAACUGGAAACUUCAUUUGUAAAUCAUUGGCGUGGAAGAGGUUUGGAGCCACCCUGUCACAAACUAUUGCCUGAC
Molecule: RNA transcript, 2500 nt
Organism: Neltuma alba
Lineage: Eukaryota; Viridiplantae; Streptophyta; Magnoliopsida; Fabales; Fabaceae
Exons: 8
Source: RefSeq, a predicted model, not a curated record